Molecule: ribosomal RNA, 253 nt
Filed under: Blautia obeum
Lineage: Bacteria; Bacillati; Bacillota; Clostridia; Lachnospirales; Lachnospiraceae
Description: partial 16S ribosomal RNA
Rfam family: Bacterial small subunit ribosomal RNA
Source: RNAcentral
UACGUAGGGGGCAAGCGUUAUCCGGAUUUACUGGGUGUAAAGGGAGCGUAGACGGACUGGCAAGUCUGAUGUGAAAGGCGGGGGCUCAACCCCUGGACUGCAUUGGAAACUGUUAGUCUUGAGUGCCGGAGAGGUAAGCGGAAUUCCUGGUGUAGCGGUGAAAUGCGUAGAUAUUAGGAGGAACACCAGUGGCGAAGGCGGCUUACUGGACGGUAACUGACGUUGAGGCUCGAAAGCGUGGGGAGCAAACAGG